Long non-coding RNA from Corvus hawaiiensis (hawaiian crow), 10193 nucleotides. RefSeq lists it as uncharacterized. The transcript is spliced from 11 exons. The record is from RefSeq and is a predicted model, not a curated record. NCBI's taxonomy places the organism in Eukaryota, Metazoa, Chordata, Aves, Passeriformes, Corvidae.
UUCAGGCUCCAUGCUGUACGUUUUCUUAUUUUAAAGAGUACACUAUUUUUUUUAAAGAAGAUGCUUCAAUUAAUCUGAAAAUGCCUAUUACUUUUUAUCUUAUGAUAUUGUACAGGGUUCACAUGUUUGAAUUGCUCUUGAAGUCCUUGUUAUAUCUGUAAUCAUAUCCAUAAUUAAGAUUUUAUUCUUUUAAUGAUUGUAUGGCUGAAGCUGAUAUUUCUAGAGGUUAAAAAACACAAACCAAACAAAACAUCUCAAUGCUGGCCCUUCUACUGUAGGAGACCUCUUGAUCAAAACUCAUCUCUGAUUAUCUGUUGGACAAAGAUUUAGAGUUGACAGGUGUAAGGGCAGAACUGGCUGGAGACUCACAGAAUAAGGAAGUGGCACUCAAUUCUGCCUUUUAAAGAGUAUCCUAAUUGGCAGAUCACUUCUCAAAUUGUGCAUCCAGGCAGAGAAGUAAAAGCUGGAUCAGUUAAGAAAAAGUCAAUGGUGGUGCAGAUAGUGAUGACAGCUCAUACAGAAAUGCUGCUAGAUUUCUAACCAUUGCCUCGAAAUACUGAUUUCAAACUGCAGUGCUAUAAUGACAACAUAAAUGAAGUUUUGUUGGCUUCAAGGAGUUGUUCCCAAAUUACAUUGGUGUCAUGCUUGAAUGAGAUCAUCUCAGUUGAACCACUGCACAAAAUAUCACUUUUACCCACAAAACAUCACUGGCUUCCUCUCAAAGGUACAAAAGGUUCCUUCAGCCAUGCUUCUUUUCCAGGUGGAAGAUGAAACAAAGGUACAGAUAGAGAGUGAACUACCUAAGUGUCAUGAGGCUAAAUAUUUGUUCACUUGCUUAAGAUGCAGUAAGUCCUGGAGUACUCUCUGUUUACCCAAGAGGAUUUCAGCAUAGAGGCUUUCUCCAGAAAGAGGAAGCAUAUUGAAGAAUAUUCACCCCAGCUCAGGAUUUAUCAUGGUGAGGACCGCACAGUGUAACAGAUGAAGCUACUGCAAGAGGUUAAAGUCACUAGACAAAAACUAUGUGCAUUUGGUGGACAGUUGUUCUGCAAAGCUGACUGACGCAGGAAAGGAAAACCCAGCAGCAGCAGAAACCAACUCUUUGGAGAUGGAAGAUGGAUAGAACACUAGCAGUUAGGGUUAAUUUUAUAUUUUUGCCAUUAUUUUGUUCAUUAAAGGUUUGAAAGUCAGUUGAGCAAUUGUACCGGUGAGACUGUGAUUUGCUAUAAGAUUUAAAGUAUACCUUUGGAUAAUUUCACAUUGUUUUCAGUCUUUAUUUGAGUGAAUUUGCCACACUGAAAUUGAAUCAAACCAUUGAUUUAUCAGAAGUGUUUUAUUCUUCAUUCUAGAUCUGUGCAGAUCUAAUUUAAAAACCAGGAAAGCAGUAGAAAGUUGCAUUUGUAAAUAUUUUAGAGAAAACUGCUGUUCUGUGGAACUUUAUGCUGUUUUUCUCUGACCCUACUGAGUGCUUCACAGAAGCUCAUUUGGGAAAUGUAUUCUUUGGUUUUGGUAAUCAAUUGAUCAACAUUUGAAGCUUUGCUCAGACACACAGCUAUUGUGAAGAGCAGUUCUUUCAAAUAUCCAUUUGAUUGUGUUUGUGAUGCUUGCUUUAUUCAACUCUGCUCCAGGAAAAUUAAAAUGUACUGCUAUAUAAUAAGUAUGGGAAGGUUAGUAUUCACAAUUUAGGGAUAAAACAUUUUGACAGUUCUAUUCUACAUGUGCAUUUAAAAAUCGUAAUGCUUUCGAUUAGACCCUAUGUUUAUCGUAGGAUCUCUUGUAGGCAUUACUCCUGUGAGAUUGUUACCUUUCAGGAUUUGUUGUGGACUGUGUGUCUGUGGGGAAGCACAAAAGCCUGCUGGUUCCACAGGCAUGUUAUUUUCUGGUCCAUGGUAUGUCUCACUUUCUUUAAUUUCUGAUGGGGCUCCACCUGCACUGCUGCUGCUGAGUCAUUUGUGGUUGUUUCUGAGAUAUUUUUUGGGGUUCAGUUAGGCAGGUACAUGUGCAUUGUUCUGCCUUACAUGCUUGCCACGUUUUUCCACUGGUCCCCAAACUCUCAGUUUUUGGGGCAUUGUAGAAUCCCCACAGGGACAGUGGCAUUGUCUGGGGAGGGACAAGAGAUCCUGCCACCACAACCAUUAUCCUUCUUGCUGGUGAACAGGUGAUGCUCAAGCCCAGCAUGUGCACAGACAAUGGGCAGCAUUCUGAGCUCAGGAAAAUGAUCACUGACACCGGCUGAUGUCUGAAGCACUGGUCACUAAAAUUCUCGGUAUUAAUUGCUCCCCUUUUAUUUUAUCUGUCAUCUUUCUGCAUUAGGAAUGUUCAGGGGGGGAUUCAAGUAACCUGAUAUAACAUCUGCAGCAUUGCUAUCACCAAGAAAGCAUUCAUUCAGAUAAUAAGGCUGUCUCAAGGUACAUGGUCUCUUGAGACAGUGUGUAAAUUAGACCAAGUGAUAAAAUAAAACCCCAAAACUAACAAACACACUGGCUAGAUAGUUCAGACUUUUCAGAAGAGCAGAAAUCAGGAAAAAAACAUUGUAGGAUUUACAGGAAAAUGCAUAUGAGCUGAAGUAAGGCCUUCUCACUGAUCCUUUAGCCAAUCUCCAGAGACUUUGUGUAAUUAUUAUUAGAUUUCCCGUGGGAAGGAUAUGGACUUAGGUGAUACAAGAAAUCUUGCGCAGUGAAUUCUUCAGGAACCCCUUUCUGCAUUAGGCCCCAUUACUCUGUCUCUGAAGCCCCAAAAACUCAUAUACCCUCAAACUGCUGUGGGCUGUCAUUUUCCAUACCUUCCUUCACAUUUGGGAGCUGUCUCUCCUGACUCAGCAAUAAAUAGCAGAGAAGGACUCUGGGAAUUCAGAGAGAUGAUGUGCACAAAGUCAUUUUCUGAUUGUGAAGGGGACCACUGGUAAAUCCUCUCUGUGCACCCAGAUUGGUUCUUGCACUGAAAAACAUCAAAAUCUGAAUUAUACAGAGGCUAUGCAGCACUAUGGGUAAGUACUUUGGCCUUUCAUCUCUUAUUAUGUUGUUAAUUAGUUAAUGUUUGUAAAGCACUUUGAGGAUGAAAAGCCCUAUAUAAGUUCUAAGUGUUAUUAUCUCUAGAGACCUAGGUUCAAUUCAAAGGUGCUUAAUUACAUAUGCCAUAAAUUAGACUUAAUGAGUUGUAGAAUCAUACAUUUUAUGCAAUGCAUGCAGGUUUCUCAGCCAGAGCUGGGUCUUAUGGUCUGCUGCAGUAAUUCUUUAGGUGUUCAGAGUUGUUAAGAAAAUUACAAAAAUAGAGCACAUAAUUUCUAAUAAUAAUUGGAUUGCAUUUCAGUACCAUUCAGGAGCCGGUGGAGCAAAUUGCUGGGAGCUUUUCUCAGUUGUAUCUAGGGAUUUUCCAGUAACCAACUUCAAAUUGCUGAAGGUAACAGUUUUGGGGUUAUUUUAAUUGUGGUAUAGACAUAAUUCUAGUUCAUACUUCUGUAUUUUGGCUUAGCAGAAGGGUGGUGAGAGGUAUUGGUGACUGUUUUCCUUCCGGUAAUACCCUGAAAUGUCCCAUUAGCGGACCACUUCAUGUUGGGAUACUUUCACAAGCAUAAGAAAAGAAUUUCCCAUCUCUAGAGAUAUCACCGUGUAAUUUACAGCAAGCCAUUACCAGCGGGUAGCCCGCAAAAAGAGGAAGCCACAGUUAUAGGAAAAUGUAGUUUCAUUGGCUUUGCAGGGCUGAGAGUUUCCAUGUUUUGUAACUUACAUAUUUUGUGCCCAGAAGGCUGCAGACUGCUCCAGCCCCAGCACCAGGGCAGAUAUCCACGGUGAGCAGGUGGCUUGUCCUGGCUGUUGCCCAGCCAGCAGAGUUCAGAGACACACAAAACCAGCAGGAUUGCCUACCUGACCUAAAGUGGCUCCCAUGAGUUCCUGCAGCAAAAUAUAUCCAUUUUACCUUGGGUCUUCCUCAGGCAUAUAGAAGGAGGCAGGAUUUAUCCUGUGUAUAAAUAUGCUAGGAGUGAUUGUGUUCAUUAGUACCACCCAAGUAGAUUGGAAAAACUAAUUAUUAGCAAUUUACUAUGAGUGUCGCUAACAGACUUACUUGAAAGUAUUUAUCCCGAAGUGAAAGUCAUUUGAUUCGGUUAAUGUUUAUUGUAAGCAUGUGCAGACUGUCUUCCAGGGGAAAAUGUAUUUUUGAGUACUCCAGACAAGUGAAACUGGUGAGCCCGCAGUCCGGAGAAAGCAUCUGUAACCGCAGCCAAAAGGGGAACGAGAUUUCUGACAUUCUUUCAAGACAUGUGUUUGAAGCAUGGGUUCCCAUCACUUUCAGAGCCACUUGCAGGCCUUUAUAUAGAUUUAGGCAAGUCAGUGUGGGCUUACAUUCAGCAUGAUAAAUGCCUCUGUGAUGUCUCCCUCUUCCAUUCUCUACUUUUAUUUUAAUGCUUAUUUUGAACAGAAGUAUGUUCUUUAAAUGGGACAAAGCACAAUGCCUGACAGUGUUUAUCACUCACUUUUCCAUAUUCCUAAGAAAUGGAUCUAGUCUUACACCAUAAUUACUGGGGUGCAUCUCUUUCAAAAACAAGACAUUUUGGUGAAUACUUUUUCAUAUACUCUAAUAAAUAGGAACUUCACAUAUAUGCUAAUUUGAGGUCGAGGCUGUGGUUAAACAUUUUAAUAGUGCAGCAAACUUAUCAACAAACCUUUUCUUCCCUACCCUUUCUCCUUCCCUUUUUACAAUGAACAGAUUUUUAUCCAACUGUCUUGUAAUUUGGGGACUUUUACAAGCAGGUUUAGGAACUUGUCAGAUAUUUGGAAAUUUAAGUCUGAAAACAAAACAGAAAAAUCCCACAACUUAAAAGCCCAAUAUUUUACACAGUAUAUAUUAACUGGUUAAAAUUUUGACUUGCUGAAGUACCUACAGAACUCUAUUUUCUGACCUAACUAUCAGCACUUAACUAGAAGUUAUCAGUCUGAUGCCUUUUUUUUAAUACUCCAGGACACCAUUUAUACUGCCAUAACUCACUGAGGUACCAAAUCAGUGGAACUGCAAGACACUCUUUGUUUCUGAAUUCCUGCUGCCUUUUGUCAAAAGGUGAUAAGAAUACUCAUAUUGGUUUUAUUUAAUCUUGGCAUUUCCAGCCUGUCUCCUUUCCUUCUCUGUUUCCAAGAUGUCAGUGCUGACAUACUCUAGCAGUGAUAUCACUGUUGCUGAAACACGAGUGAAGAACCUCUCUGAGCAAGCAGGAAAGUUGUGAGCUUGAGCAGCUGCACUGAAGUGCCUGUUCCAGAGACAUCAGGCAGCAGGGAUGACUGUACAACAGAGAACACCUUGAUACAGCCCGGCCUCCAAGUCUGACCAAGAGACCAAUGGCUGGGGAGGGUGCUCCUCCAGAAAACAGUUCAUGGGCUACAAGAAGCACUAAAUGUGCAUGGAGAAACAACUUGGCAAACAGGGAAGCAAGCUAACACUAUCUCCUGGUUUCACAAGAAAAAAGUCGGAAGUACCAUAACCACUAAAAGACAUCUUGAAUAAAGAAACACUUUGGUGGACCCAGUCUUCAGGGGUGCAUUCAGGUUCCCUGACACAGGUAUAGACAGACAUACCCCGGUCGUGUGGCACCCAUGAAUAGAUCCAGUGAGCCUGUGCAGCUGUGUUUUGAUCAGCGGAGAGCUUUCCUGGCAUCAGAGAACUGAAAUCACCUUGUGGGUAUGACAAGCACAUCUAAGUAUCUAGCAAGUGAAAAUCAAGGGUUUCUGUAAGGAAGAAGUAAGGACACGUACCACAAAAAAUUAAAAGUAAAAUAACCUUUAAUAAUCUCCAUUCUAAGUAUUGCUCUAAAUUGGCAUUUAGCCAUCCAUCAUUUGCUGGCUCAUAAAGCUGGUUUGUGCUCUUCCCUCGCCUCCCCUCCCUGUUUCUAGGAGCUGCUGGCCUCUUUUCAUCACUCCUUUCCCAUAGGCACACACAACUGGGACCCAAACACUCUUUUGUCUCUUCCUCUGGAACUCUGCUUUGUAACACAUGGGGAAAAGGGGAGCUGUGAGCAGCUUUCUUUUUUCUUCAUUGUGUAAUGCCACUUAUAAACUCUGUCAAUAGACACUUGGGAGGUGUCUAAAAUGUUAGACAAGGAAACAGGUAUAAUUCAGAGGAAACCUGACCUUGAUUGAAUAGGGUCAAAAUGCCUCAGCCACCUCUUUCAUUUGAAACUCCUCAUUUACAGACUCAGACUUCUUUCAUUGUAGCUUAGAGUUGACAAAUAUAUGUGAGGUCUGUAUUAGACUGAAAGAUAAGAAGUGUUAAGGAAGCUCCCCAGUGUGACCAUUCAGGAGACUCCCUGGCAGUCACACUGCCAAGGGCACAGACUGUCACUGCCCUUGGCACCGACGCCCCUUCCCAGCAGCAGCCGCAGUGACCCGAUGGGUUCCUCUCCCUGCACACCCCACUCGCAGUCACACCAGGUUUCCUCACCGGCUCGUCCCCAGGUCUCCCAUAGCAGAGUCUUGGACGUCUCAUUCCGUGAAACCACUUCUUCCCGGCGCAGUGACACAGGAGCAGCCUGAGCUGGUGCCUCUGAGGAGGACCCCAACCAAGGAACCCCGGGACUUUUAUGCCUUUUAUCCCCUCACCUUCUCUCCGCAUGCAAAUCUCACUCUUCGGCUCCCGCCCCCCUCUCCAUGUCGUCACCCGUCUCCUUUGUUAACCAAAAGAUCGGCGAUUCCCGGCUCCUGCUGUGUGUCUCAGUGUCCAGUCGCUGCCUGGCAUCCCCCAUCUUCGUGCCUUUGUUUUCCCAAGUGUUGGCACUUCACAGCCUCUUGUCUCGGGCUCCCACCCAGAGCUCAAUCUGCAUCUCAAUCUCCAGUUUGCAAACCGGGCUACCUGGACCAGCAGCAUUCCUCGGCAGCAGUCCAUCUGGAUUUAGGGAAUUCUGGGCCUAACCAAAAUCUUUGUGGAGAACACACAAUUUCUCUCACCUCAAAGAGUUGUAACACCAAAUUGUGAACAGUACAAAAAUUUGUUUUCAGGAAUCCUGUUGGGGUAUCCCCAGGUAUUAACACCUAGCAGAUGAAUUCAACUCAUCUACCUCCUAAUUCCCAGGUCUAAUUGUAUAUGUUAAUUAAGCUCCUGACGAAGAAAAAAAAAAGACUGAGCUCUAAAUUAUGUGUCUAAGAGUUCGAAUUUUCCUCUUGACAUUUAGAAAUCUAAGGUUGUAAGUCACCAAAGGCUUUUGAACAAAAUGCUUGUGGUCAUUUCCAGACUUGGACAAGACAGAUAUUUCUUGAGCUUCCUGGUGCAUUCUGUUAUCUCAGGUCCUUUUUGCUGAGUAUUCUAAGAAUGAUUUACCAAAAUAGUUGAUGAAGUUUUAUAUAGAAUGUAUUCCAAGCACCUAUAUUAAGCACCUCUUUCAACCAGAUUUUGUUUGUUAUUAUGGAAACUCCUUCUAGAGAAAGUUGUUUGACCCAGGAAAGCAUUAGCCAACCAACAAAGUUUGGAGCUUUCAAGUAAUUCUCAGUAUUUUUGUUUUGAUAUUUUUUGAACAACAUCUUUCUCUCUGACCAAAACCACAGAUGGCACAGGCCUGACUUUCUCAUCACUAAGGAUAAUUUAUAUCACACCAGCAGUGAAAAGAGACCUGCAAAAAAUGUAGAUGUAAUUAGAAGCCCUUUAAUAUCCUUUCACACUGCUGGAGUAGCAGACAGGAAUCUUUAGCCUAUGUCCUUAUCCCUCCUGUUUCUUUGCUGGGAAGUGCUUCAACUAGGACUGGUGUGGAUUGGGAACUGGCAAUUCCUCCUCUUCUGUUCCUGACCUGCUGAAGAACAGCCACACCAACACACUCAGCACAAGGGCGUUUCUUCACAUUUAUCUUAGGUUAGCACUUUCCUUUAUUUAACUGUCUCUGAUCUGACUAUAUCUGAUCAUUCCUUCAUCUCAUUUUCACUUAACCUUUUGGCCUCUACACAGACUAAGCAUCCUAUCAGAUAUCUCCCAAGGGACCUUCUUUCCCCCCACUCCCCCUUUCUCCACUCUUUCUCCGAUUUAGGUGCUUUAUGCCACUCCUGCUAAUUUACCUGAUUACAUGGAAGGAGCUGUAGAUCUUUUUAUAAUUGCUGUUUUACUUAAAACAUUGAUUCUUUAGUUCCUGUCUGUUUUCAGGUCAUCACACCUUACUGGAGGUUUCCCUGGCUUAAUGAGCAAUUCUGAAACCAUAGAAAGUACCAGACAUGGGGGUCAGUGUGAAUUCUGAUAUUUGAAAGCCACUCCAUAGCAUCCACAAGAGGAUCCUUGGCACUUGCCUAGUUAAACUGAAUGUCCAAUGUUUUCUCUCCAGGCAAGUAAGAUUGUGGCAAUCACUGUAGUCCUAUUUCACUUGUUCUCAGUCUUUUUGACACCAACACAUUAAUUCUCCCAAGCUCCUUUGGCAGCUGUAAGAAGUUCUCUCUUUUUUUUUCUAAUAUGAUUGAUAAUAUUGAAUAUUUCUUUUAACCUUUUACUGCCAUUCCUGGGCUAGGUGAUAGUUUUUGUGUUCGGAUGUUAAUCUCCAGCAUGCAGCAGCACAUCUUCCAAUCACCUACUCAUUAUGGAGCUCAUUUGUAAAAUGCUGCUGCUUAAUUUAUGACUGCCUGUGAAGCCCCACCUAUCAUUGGCCCUCCAACACUCCCACUGUCAAAGGCUCCAUAAAGAAAAUCAUUGCUUUAUACAGAAAAUCCUUCUAGUUUAACACAAAGAAUGGCAGUCCUUGGACAAAAUUCCUCUGUAUGGUUUCAUAUGACGCACUGGAAAGAAACACAUCCUGGAGAGGGUGUAAAUAAUGCAGGUUCUCUGGCUCAGUGCAGGAAAUGGCCCAACUGAAAUGUAGUGGCAAAAAAUGUCAUAAUUUUCUUCACUUCUAAUUUCUCAGGGGGAAAAAAAAAAAGGUUGUCUGAGGAGACACAAAUAUGUAAAAACAAAAAGACCUCCCAGGAUGACUUGAAAUAUGUUCAAAUUAGACAUCUAUUCCCUGCUCCCUAGAACCCAGUAAAUAUUUCUUUGGCCCUACAAAGUAUUUUAGUCUGAACCCAGGAAACCUCAGCUUGACCUUGAAAAUAAGAUUCCUCAGUUUUCAAAGUAAAUGUCCCAGCCACAUUACUGGAGGAGUUGCACUUUUCUGAUUGAACAUAUAAAACUUGUCUCUUUUGGCAAAUGGGAUAGAUUAUACUGCAGGGAACUGGUUGUUUUCCCAAUUAGCUGACCACAGGCACUUUCACACUAGCUUUCUCAACUUCUACACCUCAAUACAAUGCUGCUGGCAAGGUUAAAAUAUCUGUUUGGGGCCGUUAGGGGCAGGGUUCAGCCAGUGAAAAGCAGUAGAGCCUGUCUCAAUGGACAUACACUGACCUACCUUGCCGAGUUAGCAUCCAGAGCAUAUCUCUACAGAGGUUUUGUUUUGUCUCCUUUUCACGUUGUAGUGGAUGGCUGUAGCAUCCUUCCAGCAUACCUUGAAUCCCAUUUGAGAUUUUAGAUUGAAUAUGUCUGGAUUUGAUCUGUUUUAUCAGUUUAUUUUCUUCUGAUGUUUUUCUCCUCUUCCAGCUGCAUUAACUCUUCUUUCACCCAAGACUCACUCCAUGGUACGUGUAAUGAAAAUACUCUUUUGAAACACUUUGACAUCAUCUUCUGACAUCUGACUCAUAUUCAGGUAUAAAUUUCCCAGGUCUGGUUAUCAAUUCUCUGUAGAAAAGUAUAAGCAUGUGUUCCACAUGGAGUGUAAAAGGACAAGAACGGUCUCAAAUUCCUCUUCUGAUGACUGGUCGAUGUCUAUCAACUGAUGUUGAAAAUCUCUGUGGCCACAGCCUUCGUUUAAUAUUGUAUCUCAGACAUAACUGCUUUUUGUCCAACAGUCUUGUUUAAAACAGACCAAAAUAAUAAAGAUGGACAAUUUGAUUGGCAUCUACCUUAUUAAUUGAAUUAAACCUGGCUUUAAUUUUAACAAAAAACCAAAUGCAGUAUUGGGCGUUAAAUAAAAUAAGGUGAUGCUUUUUCAAAAUGAGCCUUUCCAUUUUUGCUUCAGCUUGAGUUUCUCACUUGAGGCCAACCACACAUGUUGAAAUGCUAUCAGCUAGUGUUUCACAGAGACUUCUGGUUCAGGGCACCAGUGCAGACACCCAGCUGCCCAAGCUGUGGCCCUUGCACCCUCCCCAUGCCUGCUGACUCCUGUGCGUGCUCAGGGUUUCAUUAGGUUGCAAGCUGUAGCCACGUGGUGCAGA